Molecule: ribosomal RNA, 448 nt
Filed under: uncultured bacterium
Lineage: Bacteria
Description: bacterial SSU rRNA
Rfam family: Bacterial small subunit ribosomal RNA
Source: RNAcentral
UGCCAGACUCCUACGGGAGGCAGCAGUGGGGAAUAUUGCACAAUGGGGAAAACCCUGAUGCAGCGACGCCGCGUGAGCGAUGAAGUAUUUCGGUAUGUAAAGCUCUAUCAGCAGGGAAGAAAAUGACGGUACCUGACUAAGAAGCCCCGGCUAACUACGUGCCAGCAGCCGCGGUAAUACGUAGGGGGCAAGCGUUAUCCGGAUUUACUGGGUGUAAAGGGAGCGUAGACGGUCCUGCAAGCCAGAUGUGAAAGCCCGGGGCUCAACCCCGGGACUGCAUUUGGAACUGUAAGGCUAGAGUGUCGGAGAGGCAGGCGGAAUUCCUAGUGUAGCGGUGAAAUGCGUAGAUAUUAGGAGGAACACCAGCGGCGAAGGCGGCCUGCUGGACGAUGACUGACGUUGAGGCUCGAAAGCGUGGGGAGCAAACAGGAUUAGAUACCCGAGUACU